UAUUGGUCAAUGGUCGGGGGACUGAACCAGCCAAGCCGCGUGAGGGAGGAAGGUACAGAGUAUCGUAAACCUCUUUUGUCAGGGAACAAAGGCGGGGACGUGUCCCCGGAUGAGUGUACCUGAAGAAAAAGCAUCGGCUAACUCCGUGACAGCAGCCGCGGUAAUACGGAGGAUGCGAGAGUUAUCCGGAUUUAUUGGGUUUAAAGGGUGGGCAGGCGGUCUGUUAAGUAAGAGGUAAAAGCCCGGGGCUCAACCCCGGCCCGCCGUUGAAACUGGCAGUCUCGAGUUGGAGAGAAGUAUGCGGAAUGCGCGGUGUAGCGGUGAAAUGCAUAGAUAUCGCGCAGAACUCCGAUUGCGAAGGCAGCAUGCCGGCUCCACACUGACGCUGAGGCACGAAAGCGUGGGUAUCGAACAGG
Molecule: ribosomal RNA, 416 nt
Filed under: uncultured bacterium
Lineage: Bacteria
Description: bacterial SSU rRNA
Rfam family: Bacterial small subunit ribosomal RNA
Source: RNAcentral